RNAcentral lists this ribosomal RNA (457 nucleotides) under uncultured soil bacterium. RNAcentral's name for it is "bacterial SSU rRNA". It matches the Rfam family "Bacterial small subunit ribosomal RNA", at positions 26 to 505 of the family's 1533-position model. The record is from RNAcentral.
AGGACGAACGCUGGCGGCGUGCUUAACACAUGCAAGUCGAACGGUAAGGCCCCUUCGGGGGUACACGAGUGGCGAACGGGUGAGUAACACGUGGGUAAUCUGCCCUGCACUUCGGGAUAAGCCUGGGAAACCGGGUCUAAUACCGGAUAUGAGCUCUCACCGCAUGGUGGGGGUUGGAAAGUUUUUCGGUGCAGGAUGAGUCCGCGGCCUAUCAGCUUGUUGGUGGGGUAAUGGCCUACCAAGGCGACGACGGGUAGCCGGCCUGAGAGGGUGAUCGGCCACACUGGGACUGAGACACGGCCCAGACUCCUACGGGAGGCAGCAGUGGGGAAUAUGCACAAUGGGCGAAGCUGAUGCAGCGACGCCGCGGUGGGGAGUGACGGUCUUCGGAUUGUAAACUCCUUCAGUAGGACGAGCGAGAGUGACGGUACUGCAGAAGAAGCACCGGCAACUCGUA